UAGUGAAAUAACUGUCAAAUAUUUGAUUUUAAUUGAAUUUUAAGCUCUACCAAACAAGCUCUUAACUUCCUUAGUUCUGAGAUUGUACGUAUUUAUUUGUCAGAUUCUUGUUCUCUAUAAUUUCCUUCUUCUGUAACUCUCAUUCUUAAUUCAUACGGUAAAAUUUGGAAUGGUUUCCUAAUUCUUGUAAAGUUGGUUUCAAUUUCUUGUAAACCUGUACUCUAAAUGUUAAUAGUGCAAUUUCAAUCGCUGCACGCCUUAAUGCACUAAGGAACUGUGAUUGCUAUGCUUUUUCUCAAAUUUCAGAUUGCAUUUUGCUUACCAACUUGCACAUUUCUCCAAAAGACGUUCAAUUUUUGAGCUUCUUAUGAAGAGCGACUUACCAAACUAAGCAUGGGAGGUGGAAGGAGAGAAAGAAAAUGUGGUGUGCCAGAUAAUUGACAAUCCCACCAUAUCGAGUACAAUAUUUCAUCCUUUUACGAUUACUUAACAUUAAAUUUUAUUCAUCAUCCGAUACAUGCAUUCUUAUGCACUAAUGGUACGUUUAGUAAGGUGGAUUAGGACACCACCCAUAUGAUAGUAUUGAAGAAGAUAAAGAAACCAAAAUUAUUAUGUCAAAUUAUGUCUAGUAUUGUCUACCAAACAUGUCCUAAUUAAUUAUCAAUAGGAAGAUUGUUGUCCUUAUUGAACCGGAUUAGUGCUUUAAAUAUUUAUCUUUGGUAUCA
Molecule: long non-coding RNA, 725 nt
Organism: Olea europaea var. sylvestris
Lineage: Eukaryota; Viridiplantae; Streptophyta; Magnoliopsida; Lamiales; Oleaceae
Exons: 2
Source: RefSeq, a predicted model, not a curated record